GACGAACGCUGGCGGCGUGCUUAACACAUGCAAGUCGAACGGAAAGGCCCUGCUUUUGUGGGGGGCUCGAGUGGCGAACGGGUGAGUAACACGUGAGUAACCUGCCCUUGACUUUGGGAUAACUUCAGGAAACUGGGGCUAAUACCGGAUAGGAGCUCCUGCUGCAUGGUGGGGGUUGGAAAGUUUCGGCGGUUGGGGAUGGACUCGCGGCUUAUCAGCUUGUUGGUGGGGUAGUGGCUUACCAAGGCUUUGACGGGUAGCCGGCCUGAGAGGGUGACCGGCCACAUUGGGACUGAGAUACGGCCCAGACUCCUACGGGAGGCAGCAGUGGGGAAUAUUGCACAAUGGGCGGAAGCCUGAUGCAGCAACGCCGCGUGCGGGAUGACGGCCUUCGGGUUGUAACCCGCUUUCGCCUGUGACGAAGCGUGAGUGACGGUAAUGGGUAAAGAAGCACCGGCUAACUACGUG
Molecule: ribosomal RNA, 468 nt
Filed under: uncultured bacterium
Lineage: Bacteria
Description: partial 16S ribosomal RNA
Rfam family: Bacterial small subunit ribosomal RNA
Source: RNAcentral